UUUAAAACAUGGUCAUGUCAAGAAGUAGAGGAAACCAGCACUGCUGUCUGAAUGGAUGAGCUUCUUUAAUUUCAGGAUUCAGUCAUAGGAAAUCUAUUAGGCACUUUUGUUAAGCUACAUUCUCCAACUUGACUUUUAUCAAUAAUAAAAGCAUAACUAUUUGGGCCUGCUAGUUGUCAUUCCUUAGUUUUACUUCUCGAUUCGUUUCUGAACAAAUCUGCAGUAAGGAAGUAAUCUGAGUAAGGAAGAGGGUGCCAUGUGUUGGAGGUUUCUUGGUGACCACAGCAUUUGCUGCACUGACUGGAACAAUGGACGCUAAAAACAAAAGACUUGAAAUUAGGGAGCAAAGUGGACUCCGGAAAGGCUUCUUGAAGAGUCACGCUAUGAUGUCUUUAAAUCUUCAAACAAGUUCACUGAAUGCAGUGCCGUGUAGUAGUAGUGCUUUGAUGGAUGAAGAGGAGGGGAAUAACCAAGUUUUACUACCAAUGGAUCCAAAAGGGAAAACAGGCACAGGAUCAGGAAUAAUGGGAAAGCACCAAGAAAUCAUGGGUUUUGGAUGGAAACAGCUAUCAACACAUGUGUUCUUCCCACCUUGUUCAACUGGAACUCAGAGAAGCCUUCAGUAA
Molecule: long non-coding RNA, 626 nt
Filed under: Oryctolagus cuniculus (rabbit)
Lineage: Eukaryota; Metazoa; Chordata; Mammalia; Lagomorpha; Leporidae
Description: lncRNA (ENSOCUG00000037400.1)
Source: RNAcentral